AGAACGAACGCUGGCGGCGUGGAUAAGACAUGCAAGUCGAACGGGAUUACUUCUAGUAGCAAUACCUGAAGUAAUUUAGUGGCGAACGGGUGCGUAACACGUGGGGAAUCUGCCGAGAAGUGGGGGAUAGCUCGUCGAAAGGCGAAUUAAUACCGCAUAUGAUCAGGGAAGACAUCUUUCCAACAUCAAAGCCGGGGCAACCUGGCGCUUCUUGAUGACCCCGCGGCCUAUCAGCUAGUUGGUGAGGUAACGGCCCACCAAGGCUAUGACGGGUAGCUGGUCUGAGAGGACGACCAGUCACACUGGAACUGAGACACGGUCCAGACACCUACGGGUGGCAGCAGUCGAGAAUUUUUCUCAAUGGGGGCAACCCUGAAGGAGCGACGCCGCGUGGAGAUGAAGGCUUCGGUGUAAACUCCUGUCAUUUGAGAACAAGUGUAGCCAAGUAACUACUGGCUACUUGAUAGUAUCAGAAGAGGAAGGACGGACUAACGUCUGUGCCACG
Molecule: ribosomal RNA, 505 nt
Filed under: uncultured soil bacterium
Lineage: Bacteria
Description: bacterial SSU rRNA
Rfam family: Bacterial small subunit ribosomal RNA
Source: RNAcentral